Molecule: long non-coding RNA, 429 nt
Filed under: Rattus norvegicus (Norway rat)
Lineage: Eukaryota; Metazoa; Chordata; Mammalia; Rodentia; Muridae
Description: long non-coding RNA NONRATT033836
Source: RNAcentral
GGCUUAAGUGCUUGCCUAUGCAUUAUGUCAGUGCAUUCACUUCAUCUGGUAGGAUCCUUGUGUCCUAGUUUGUAAAUCAGCAAACUAGGGCUGAGUAGCCCUGUGCCUUGCUUAGGACUCCCAGCUAACCACCAUUGAAACUGUUCCAGGCCUGUGUCUCAGAAGCAAAAGCCUUUCAACUAGGCCACAGCACUGGAAGCAAAGUUUGUCUGUAAGUCCUUCAAAGAACCGGAAUAACCAUUGGUGGCUGGCUCUGCAUCCCUAAGGGCAGUCCUGCCUUGGGAAGGACACAAAAAGGUGCGUGGCAAAGCACCAGAACCCACCAGAAGAGCCCUAUAUUGGGCUAAGGUCCAGAAAGAACACAGAAAUGCCGACGGGGAAUAAAGCUGGGCAAUUGCAGCGACGAGAGCUGUGGUUUCUGUAUGUGCU